ACGGUUAUACCAUGCUGAAUAUACCGGUUCUCGUUAGAUCACCGAAGUCAAGCAUCAUUGAGCGCGGUCAGUACUUGGGUGGGUGACCACCUGGGAACACCGCGUGCCGUU
Molecule: ribosomal RNA, 111 nt
Filed under: Caerostris darwini
Lineage: Eukaryota; Metazoa; Arthropoda; Arachnida; Araneae; Araneidae
Source: RNAcentral